GUCAGCGGCCAUAGGAAGGGGGUUCACCUGUUCCCAUCCCGAACACAGAAGUUAAGCCCCUUCACGGCAAUGCUUGUACUACCCUAUGGGUGGGAACUCAUGCUGCUGCUGAUA
RNAcentral lists this ribosomal RNA (114 nucleotides) under Microcaldota archaeon. The record is from RNAcentral. Lineage: Archaea; Nanobdellati; Microcaldota.